Molecule: ribosomal RNA, 429 nt
Filed under: Verrucomicrobiota bacterium
Lineage: Bacteria; Pseudomonadati; Verrucomicrobiota
Description: Verrucomicrobia bacterium partial 16S ribosomal RNA
Rfam family: Bacterial small subunit ribosomal RNA
Source: RNAcentral
UAGGGAAUCUUCGGCAAUGGGGGGAACCCUUACCGAGCAACGCCGCGUGAGUGAAGAAGGUUUUCGGAUCGUAAAGCUCUGUUGUUAAGGAAGAACGAGUGUGAGAAUGGAAAGUUCAUGCUGUGACGGUACUUAACCAGAAAGGGACGGCUAACUACGUGCCAGCAGCCGCGGUAAUACGGAGGUCCCGAGCGUUGUCCGGAUUUAUUUGGCGUAAAGCGAGCGCAGGGGGUUAGUAAAGUCUGAAGUGAAAUGCAGUGGCUCAACCAUUGUAAGCUUUUGAAACUGUUUAACGUGGGUGUAGAAGGGGAGAGUGGGAUUCCAGGUGUAGAGGUGAAAAGCGUAGAUAUAUGGAGGAACACCGGUGGCGAAAGCGCCUCUCUGGUCUGUAACUGACGCUGAGGCUCGAAAGCGUGGGGAGCGAACAGG